RNAcentral lists this ribosomal RNA (381 nucleotides) under uncultured bacterium. RNAcentral describes it as "bacterial SSU rRNA". It matches the Rfam family "Bacterial small subunit ribosomal RNA", at positions 29 to 412 of the family's 1533-position model. The record is from RNAcentral.
AUUGAACGCUGGCGGAAUGCUUUACACAUGCAAGUCGAGCGGCAGCGCGGGGCAACCUGGCGGCGAGCGGCGAACGGGUGAGUAAUGCAUCGGAACAUGUCCAUGUCGUGGGGGAUAGCCCGGCGAAAGCCGGAUUAAUACCGCAUACGCCCGAGAGGGGAAAGUGGGGGACUCGCAAGGGCCUCACGCGAUUGGGUUGGCCGAUGUCCGAUUAGCUAGUUGGCGGGGAAGAGCCCACCAAGGCGAUGAUCGGUAGCUGGUCUGAGAGGAUGAUCAGCCACACUGGGACUGAGACACGGCCCAGACUCCUACGGGAGGCAGCAGUGGGAAUUUUGGACAAUGGGGGCAACCCUGAUCCAGCCAUUCCGCGUGAGUGAAGAA